UAUAUAUAUAUAUAUAUUUUAAUUGGGGUAGCCACCAAAAUAUUGGUACAUAUAAGAUAAGACAACUGUGUUCCGCAGAGUAGCUGUUGACAUUAUAGUUGCGCUGGAACUUUGUUGACUAGAGAACCUCGGACAAAUCGCACAUCCCCGUGGCAGCAACUUUGCAUGCGGAUGUCAUCCAUAUCAACUUUCGAUGCCAGUUUCUGCGCCUACCAUGGUGACCACGGGUAACGGGGAAUCACGAUUCCAUUCCAUACAGGGACCCUGAGAAACUGCUACGACAUGCAAGGAAGGCAGUAGUCGCGCAAAUGGCCCACUCCCGACGCGAGAAAGUAGUGA
Molecule: non-coding RNA, 339 nt
Organism: Pelobates cultripes (western spadefoot toad)
Lineage: Eukaryota; Metazoa; Chordata; Amphibia; Anura; Pelobatidae
Source: the annotation of a GenBank genome assembly